CCUACGGGUGGCAGCAGUGAGGAAUAUUGGUCAAUGGGCUUACGCCUGAACCAGCCAAGUCGCGUGAGGGAAGACUGCCCUAUGGGUUGUAAACCUCUUUUGUCAGGGAGCAACGCCGGCUACGUGUAGCCGGACUGAGAGUACCUGAAGAAAAAGCAUCGGCUAACUCCGUGCCAGCAGCCGCGGUAAUACGGAGGAUGCGAGCGUUAUCCGGAUUUAUUGGGGUUAAAGGGUGCGUAGGCGGAAUGCCAAGUCAGCGGUAAAAUCGCGGGGCUCAACCUCGCUCCGCCGUUGAAACUGGCGUUCUUGAGUGGGCGAGAAGUAUGCGGAAUGCGUGGUGUAGCGGUGAAAUGCAUAGAUAUUAGGAGGAACAUCAGUGGCGAAGGCGACUAUCUGGACAGCAACUGACACUGAGGCACGAAAGCGUGGGGAGCAAACAGGAUUAGAUACCCCAGUAGUC
This 460-nucleotide ribosomal RNA is filed under the name uncultured bacterium. Its description in RNAcentral is "partial 16S ribosomal RNA". It matches the Rfam family "Bacterial small subunit ribosomal RNA", at positions 338 to 795 of the family's 1533-position model. The record is from RNAcentral.